RNAcentral lists this ribosomal RNA (448 nucleotides) under uncultured bacterium. RNAcentral's name for it is "bacterial SSU rRNA". It matches the Rfam family "Bacterial small subunit ribosomal RNA", at positions 64 to 507 of the family's 1533-position model. The record is from RNAcentral.
GAGCGGAUGACGGGAGCUUGCUCCUUGAUUCAGCGGCGAACGGGUGAGUAAUGCCUAGGAAUCUGCCUGGUAGUGGGGGACAACGUUUCGAAAGGAACGCUAAUACCGCAUACGUCCUACGGGAGAAAGCAGGGGACCUUUGGGCCUUGCGCUAUCAGAUGAGCCUAGGUCGGAUUAGCUAGUUGGUGGGGUAAUGGCUCACCAAGGCGACGAUCCGUAACUGGUCUGAGAGGAUGAUCAGUCACACUGGAACUGAGACACGGUCCAGACUCCUACGGGAGGCAGCAGUGGGGAAUAUUGGACAAUGGGCGAAAGCCUGAUCCAGCCAUGCCGCGUGUGUGAAGAAGGUCUUCGGAUUGUAAAGCACUUUAAGUUGGGAGGAAGGGCAGUAAGUUAAUACCUUGCUGUUUUGACGUUACCGACAGAAUAAGCACCGGCUAACUCUGUG